Molecule: ribosomal RNA, 466 nt
Filed under: uncultured bacterium
Lineage: Bacteria
Description: partial 16S ribosomal RNA
Rfam family: Bacterial small subunit ribosomal RNA
Source: RNAcentral
GAUGAACGCUGGCGGCGUGCUUAACACAUGCAAGUCGAACGGAAAGGCUCCUGCUUGCAGGGGUACUCGAGUGGCGAACGGGUGAGUAACACGUGGGUGAUCUGCCCUGCACUUCGGGAUAAGCCUGGGAAACUGGGUCUAAUACCGGAUAGGACGAUGGUUUGGAUGCCAUUGUGGAAAGUUUUUCGGUGUGGGAUGAGCUCGCGGCCUAUCAGCUUGUUGGUGGGGUAAUGGCCUACCAAGGCGUCGACGGGUAGCCGGCCUGAGAGGGUGUACGGCCACAUUGGGACUGAGAGACGGCACAGACACCAACGUGAGGCAGCAGUGGGGAAUAUUGCACAAGGGGCGCAAGACUGAUGCAGCGACGCCGCGUGGGGGAUGACGGCCUUCGGGUUGUAAACGCCGUUCGCUAGGGACGAAGCGUUUUGUGACGGUACCUGGAGAAGAAGCACCGGCUAACUACGUG